UACGUAGGGUGCGAGCGUUAUCCGGAUUCACUGGGUUUAAAGGGUGCGUAGGUGGGCAGGUAAGUCAGUGGUGAAAUCUCCGGGCUUAACUCGGAAACUGCCAUUGAUACUAUCUUUCUUGAAUACCGUGGAGGUCAGCGGAAUAUGUCAUGUAGCGGUGAAAUGCUUAGAUAUGACAUAGAACACCAAUUGCGAAGGCAGCUGGCUACACGAAUAUUGACACUGAUGCACGAAAGCGUGGGGAUCAAACAGG
This 253-nucleotide ribosomal RNA is filed under the name uncultured bacterium. RNAcentral describes it as "partial 16S ribosomal RNA". It matches the Rfam family "Bacterial small subunit ribosomal RNA", at positions 524 to 776 of the family's 1533-position model. The record is from RNAcentral.